AAGUCGUAACAAGGUAACCGUAGGUGAACCUGCGGUUGGAUCAUUAGUGGUUUUUACGCAGCGCUGUUGUAGUGUUUCUGUGUGGUGUUUGUGUGUGGUCUUUGGUUUUGGUGUUGGUUGUUUGUUUGUCUGUUUUUGUGCCUUGUGCGGUGCCUGGCAGUACAAACGAUCGACGGCAACACUCGGACCAGACCCAAGACCUUUACAGACAAUAGACGUCUUUGCUUGCUUUGAUGAAACCAAAUCAAAAACAACUUUUGACAACGGAUCUCUUGGCUCUC
RNAcentral lists this unclassified non-coding RNA (281 nucleotides) under fungal sp. RNAcentral's name for it is "partial internal transcribed spacer region". The stretch from base 1 to 46 matches the Rfam family "Eukaryotic small subunit ribosomal RNA", at positions 1786 to 1831 of the family's 1831-position model. The record is from RNAcentral. Lineage: Eukaryota; Fungi.